This 252-nucleotide ribosomal RNA is filed under the name uncultured bacterium. Its description in RNAcentral is "partial 16S ribosomal RNA". It matches the Rfam family "Bacterial small subunit ribosomal RNA", at positions 524 to 775 of the family's 1533-position model. The record is from RNAcentral.
UACGAAGGGGGCUAGCGUUGCUCGGAAUUACUGGGCGUAAAGCGCACGUAGGCGGAUCUUUAAGUCAGGGGUGAAAUCCUGGAGCUCAACUCCAGAACUGCCUUUGAUACUGAGGACCUUGAGUUCGGGAGAGGUGAGUGGAACUGCGAGUGUAGAGGUGAAAUUCGUAGAUAUUCGCAAGAACACCAGUGGCGAAGGCGGCUCACUGGCCCGAUACUGACGCUGAGGUGCGAAAGCGUGGGGAGCAACAGG